GAUGAACGCUGGCGGCGUGCCUAAUACAUGCAAGUCGAGCGAACAGACGAGGAGCUUGCUCCUCUGACGUUAGCGGCGGACGGGUGAGUAACACGUGGAUAACCUACCUAUAAGACUGGGAUAACUUCGGGAAACCGGAGCUAAUACCGGAUAAUAUAUUGAACCGCAUGGUUCAAUAGUGAAAGACGGUUUUGCUGUCACUUAUAGAUGGAUCCGCGCCGCACUAGCUAGUUGGUAAGGUAACGGCUUACCAAGGCAACGAUGCGUAGCCGACCUGAGAGGGUGAUCGGCCACACUGGAACUGAGACACGGUCCAGACUCCUACGGGAGGCAGCAGUAGGGAAUCUUCCGCAAUGGGCGAAAGCUUGACGGAGCAACGCCGCGUGAGUGAUGAAGGUCUUCGGAUCGUAAAACUCUGUUAUUAGGGAAGAACAAAUGUGUAAGUAACUAUGCACGUCUUGACGGUACCUAAUCAGAAAGCCACGGCUAACUACGU
Molecule: ribosomal RNA, 496 nt
Filed under: uncultured bacterium
Lineage: Bacteria
Description: partial 16S ribosomal RNA
Rfam family: Bacterial small subunit ribosomal RNA
Source: RNAcentral